UACGGGGGGGGCAAGCGUUGUUCGGAAUUACUGGGCGUAAAGGGCUCGUAGGCGGCCAACUAAGUCAGACGUGAAAUCCCCAGGCUUAACCUGGGAACUGCGUCUGAUACUGGAUGGCUUGAAUUCGGGAGAGGGAUGCAGAAUUCCAGGUGUAGCGGUGAAAUGCGUAGAUAUCUGGAGGAAUACCGGUGGCGAAGGCGGCAUCCUGGACCGAGAUUGACGCUGAGGCACGAAAGCGUGGGGAGCGAACGGG
This 253-nucleotide ribosomal RNA is filed under the name uncultured bacterium. RNAcentral's name for it is "partial 16S ribosomal RNA". It matches the Rfam family "Bacterial small subunit ribosomal RNA", at positions 524 to 776 of the family's 1533-position model. The record is from RNAcentral.